Molecule: ribosomal RNA, 253 nt
Filed under: uncultured bacterium
Lineage: Bacteria
Description: partial 16S ribosomal RNA
Rfam family: Bacterial small subunit ribosomal RNA
Source: RNAcentral
UACGUAGGCAGCAAGCGUUGUUCGGAGUUACUGGGCGUAAAGGGUGCGUAGGCGGUUGUUUAAGUUUGGUGUGAAAUCUCCCGGCUCAACUGGGAGGGUGCGCCGAAUACUGAAUGACUAGAGUGGCGGGAGAGGAGAGUGGAAUUCCUGGUGUAGCGGUGAAAUGCGCAGAUAUCAGGAGGAACACCUAUGCGAAGGCAGCUCGCUGGGACGUUACUGACGCUGAGACGCGAAAGCGUGGGGAGCAAACAGG